RNAcentral lists this ribosomal RNA (465 nucleotides) under uncultured Klebsiella sp. RNAcentral describes it as "bacterial SSU rRNA". It matches the Rfam family "Bacterial small subunit ribosomal RNA", at positions 338 to 795 of the family's 1533-position model. The record is from RNAcentral. Lineage: Bacteria; Pseudomonadati; Pseudomonadota; Gammaproteobacteria; Enterobacterales; Enterobacteriaceae.
CCUACGGGUGGCAGCAGUGGGGAAUAUUGCACAAUGGGCGCAAGCCUGAUGCAGCCAUGCUGCGUGUGUGAAGAAGGCCUUCGGGUUGUAAAGCACUUUCAGCGGGGAGGAAGGCGUUAAGGUUAAUAACCUUGGCGAUUGACGUUACCCGCAGAAGAAGCACCGGCUAACUCCGUGCCAGCAGCCGCGGUAAUACGGAGGGUGCAAGCGUUAAUCGGAAUUACUGGGCGUAAAGCGCACGCAGGCGGUCUGUCAAGUCGGAUGUGAAAUCCCCGGGCUCAACCUGGGAACUGCAUUCGAAACUGGCAGGCUAGAGUCUUGUAGAGGGGGGUAGAAUUCCAGGUGUAGCGGUGAAAUGCGUAGAGAUCUGGAGGAAUACCGGUGGCGAAGGCGGCCCCCUGGACAAAGACUGACGCUCAGGUGCGAAAGCGUGGGGAGCAAACAGGAUUAGAUACCCCGGUAGUC